This 254-nucleotide ribosomal RNA is filed under the name uncultured bacterium. RNAcentral's name for it is "partial 16S ribosomal RNA". It matches the Rfam family "Bacterial small subunit ribosomal RNA", at positions 524 to 776 of the family's 1533-position model. The record is from RNAcentral.
UACGGGGGGAGCAAGCGUUGUUCGGAUUUACUGGGCGUAAAGGGCGCGUAGGCGGUCAGCACAAGUCAGUUGUGAAAUCUCCGGGCUUAACUCGGAAAGGUCAACUGAUACUGUGCGACUAGAGUGCAGAAGGGGCAACUGGAAUUCUCGGUGUAGCGGUGAAAUGCGUAGAUAUCAGGAGGAACACCGGUGGCGAAGGCGGCUACCUGGACAGAAACUGACGCUGAGGCACGAAAGCUAGGGGAGCAAACAGG